RNAcentral lists this ribosomal RNA (475 nucleotides) under uncultured bacterium. RNAcentral describes it as "partial 16S ribosomal RNA". It matches the Rfam family "Bacterial small subunit ribosomal RNA", at positions 28 to 507 of the family's 1533-position model. The record is from RNAcentral.
GACGAACGCUGGCGGCGUGCUUAACACAUGCAAGUCGAGGGGUAAGGCCCUUCGUGGUACACAAGCGGAGAACGGGUGAGUAACACGUGGGUGACCUGCUCUCCACUCUGGGCUAAGCCCGGGAAACCGGGUCUAAUACCGGAUAUGACCUCCGCAUGCAUGUGCGGCGGGGGAACGUUCUGGCGGAGGGGGAUGGGCCCGCGGGCGAUGAGCUAGGUGGUGUGGUGAGGGCCUACAAGGGCGACGACAGAUAGGCGGCCUGAGAAGGCGAGCGGACACUUUGGGAGUGAGACACGGCACAGAUUCCUACGGGAGGCAGCGGUGGGGUAUCUGGCGCGAUGCGCGGAAGCUUGACGCAGAAACGGCGCGUGGGAGAUGGCGGACUUGGGGGUGUAACCAUCUUUCGCGAUCGAUGAAGCGCCUAAUUCUGGUACGGGUGACGGUAGGUCGAGAAUAAGCACCGGCUAACUACGUG